AGGCCCGCCCCGGUCACAUCCUGCCGUUGUCCCCACACCUCGGGCUUCCUCCGCCGACCCACCCCCAUCACCUGCACCCUUGGAGCCGCCGUCUGUUCAGAGAUUCCGCGAGGCGGUCGGUCCGGCCGGCGGUGGCGGCAAUGCCGCCCAGAAAUCAUCCGCUGCUUCUUGGCGUUGCCAUGGGGAACGAGAGCACCGCUCCUACGGCGGCCGCCGGGACCCAAACCUCCUCCGCCCGCGUCUCUUCGCCUUUUUCUUUCUUCUUUGGCCGCUAGUUCUUAGCGGCGAUUCGCGGGGCUUUCCCCUCGUUACUGACUGGAAAGACGAGUUCCCGCCACCACCGGCCUAGCUCGGAUCCUCAGCAUAUGAUGGACGUCGGAGGAGACAUCCAGGGUCCUAGGGCGCUACGAAGGGAGGACUGAACCCCCAGAAUACACCAUCAACUUGCCGAUGUGAUUUCAGCCAAGUCAGUGAGCCUUACUGAGUUGUUUUCACGUCUGCCUCACGGAGGUCCUGCCAACAGAGAGAUGCCAACCUUGGCAAGACUUCUGGAUGCAUCUGUGGCCUGCAGUGGUCAGACUCAUGGUUGAUGGUGUACUAUUCCUACCAUGGGUUCAUGCAUUAUGCAGGAAGGUGGACAGUACGCCAGGCCUGCUUGUUUCAAGGCCUCUCCUGUGGACAUCAGACCAUAUUGCCUCCCAGAGAUUAAGAGAAGACUCACCAGCCUCCUUAUUAUGAAAACGAAAGGCCUAUGCUUAGCCUUCGAUGAUAUCACACCCGUACAGCUCUGAAGGGCUGACUGAGGAGAUGCACACGCAGGUAGAGAGGAUGAGCAAAACAGCAUCGGGAUGGAGGAGCCUGAAGGAGCAGGGAACGACCAGCCCAUGCAGCAUCAGACUGCUUUGCUCUAAAGACAAAGAAACUGAUGAUGAAAGGACCGUAGGAGAGACUCCAGAUUUCAAUGAAACUUGGGCGUGACCUUUCCCAGCUCAUGGCCUAGGAGCUUUAUUCCCUUCUUCAUUCUAUAUCCAAGGACAAGGCAUGACCCUGCUUUUUGUACUAGGCUGUAUCUUCUUCCCAUUGUGCUUUGCUGUCCUCUGCUGGGGCCUGCAGAACCACGCCAGACUGCAAAUGGAGAGACAAGAGGCUGUUUUGGUGGCAUCCAAGUAAGAAGACCAGGGUGAGGGUAUCCUUCCUGGGGCCACGGCUGGUGGAACGGGUGUCUUACUUUCAGGGGGCAAAUGGCAUCAGCACUGGGAAAGUUGGUGGUGAAAACAGAAGAGUUUGUGUUAGGGGCAGAAUUAAGAGUCAAAGAUGGUGGUGAAAAUACAACAACACACGAACUCAACAAUUCUACAUGUAUAAUUCAGUGACAUUGAUUACAUUCAACAACUUCCACUGCUUCAAGAUGUGCAACCAUUCUUGCCAUCCUUUUCCAAAUUAUUUCACCACUGUUAACAUAAACUCAAUGCCACCUAAGCAAAAGCUCCCCUUUCCCCUCUCCCUCCCACCCCUUGUCACCAGUAAUAAUUUUUGGUUUCUGUAUAUUUGCUUAUUUUAUAUAAGUGAGAUCAUACAGUAUUUGU
This is a long non-coding RNA of Loxodonta africana (African savanna elephant), 1586 nucleotides long. RefSeq lists it as uncharacterized. The transcript is spliced from 6 exons. The record is from RefSeq and is a predicted model, not a curated record. NCBI's taxonomy places the organism in Eukaryota, Metazoa, Chordata, Mammalia, Proboscidea, Elephantidae.